Molecule: ribosomal RNA, 461 nt
Filed under: uncultured bacterium
Lineage: Bacteria
Description: SSU rRNA
Rfam family: Bacterial small subunit ribosomal RNA
Source: RNAcentral
AGAACGAACGCUGGCGGCAGGCUUAACACAUGCAAGUCGAACGCUCCUAGCAAUAGGGGAGUGGCAGACGGGUGAGUAACGCGUGGGAACAUACCCUCCGGUUCGGAAUAACUCAGGGAAACUUGAGCUAAUACCGGAUACGGCCUUUAGUCGAAGGAUUGGCGGCGAAAGAUUUAUCGCCGGAGGAUUGGCCCGCGUCCGAUUAGCUAGUUGGUGUGGUAAUGGCGCACCAAGGCGACGAUCGGUAGCUGGUCUGAGAGGAUGAUCAGCCACAUUGGGACUGAGACACGGCCCAAACUCCUACGGGAGGCAGCAGUGGGGAAUAUUGGACAAUGGGCGCAAGCCUGAUCCAGCCAUGCCGCGUGAGUGAUGACGGCCUUAGGGUUGUAAAGCUCUUUCGCUAGGGACGAUAAUGACGGUACCUAGACAAGAAGCCCGGCUAACUUCGUGCCAGCAGCCGC